Molecule: ribosomal RNA, 439 nt
Filed under: uncultured bacterium
Lineage: Bacteria
Description: partial 16S ribosomal RNA
Rfam family: Bacterial small subunit ribosomal RNA
Source: RNAcentral
CUACGGGGGGCACCAGUGAGGAAUAUUGCACAAUGGGGGGAACCCUGAUGCAGCAACGCCGCGUGGAGGAUGACGCAUUUCGGUGUGUAAACUCCUUUUAUAUGUCAAGAAAAUGACGGUAGCAUAUGAAUAAGCACCGGCUAACUCCGUGCCAGCAGCCGCGGUAAUACGGAGGGUGCAAGCGUUACUCGGAAUCACUGGGCGUAAAGGACGCGUAGGCGGGUUGGAAAGUCGGGUGUGAAAUCCUACAGCUUAACUGUAGAACUGCACUUGAAACUUCUAAUCUAGAGUAUGGGAGGGGGAGAUGGAAUUAGUGGUGUAGGGGUAAAAUCCGUAGAUAUCACUAGGAAUACCUAAAGCGAAGGCGAUCUUCUGGAACAUUACUGACGCUAAGGCGUGAAAGCGUGGGGAGCAAACAGGAUUAGAUACCCCUGUAGUC